RNAcentral lists this long non-coding RNA (713 nucleotides) under Olea europaea (common olive). RNAcentral describes it as "long non-coding RNA (OEUR_LNC009272)". The record is from RNAcentral. Lineage: Eukaryota; Viridiplantae; Streptophyta; Magnoliopsida; Lamiales; Oleaceae.
UGCUCCUCAACAUGCUUCAUGAUUCCAUAUUACUAAACCUCUUUGUCAAGGCAGAUUGAAUGCAGAUAAAAGUAUUUACUUCUCCAACGGUACAGAUAGGAAGCCAUCUGCAAAUGUUAGCUUGACAGCCUUUAUCACACGAUGAUAUAAAUCAAGGACGGUCGUGUAAGACAAUAUGAAUUAGAACACUUUGUUCAUAACUGAAGCAAUAGUGUGCAAUUUUUAAACUAUAGCUUCAUGGAUGAUUUUAAAUUCAGGUACCUAAUUGACCGGAAAAUUUCAAGCUGGUAGCAUACAAAUGUUUCUGCUUCUUCCAACUCAUUUCAUUUUGGAGUAGCAUAUGUGCCUUUAUUUCUCUUUUUUGCAUAUUUGAAUUUGAGAUUUUUAUGCAUCAUGUACAAUGCAGAUCAGAUCAUGUCUUCUGAUGUUUAGUCAAAGAUAAUUGUUAGAUAAUUCGAUCUAAAUUUAAGGGUAUGCAAAUAAAAUGUUUUUAAUUUAGCAAGGAUUUCAGGUUUCAAAAGAAACUAUAUAAUUCACUUCAAAUGAGGAGACAAGCGAUGAGAGGCUCUGGAAACAGAUUCUAACUUUACCAGACUGAAUUUACUAAACUAAUUCAAGGGACUCCAAUAAUUCAAGAUGCUGCAAAAUUUGGGAAUGUUGAAUUUCUGACUCUGCUAACUCGCUCAUAUCCUGAUCUUCUAUGGAAAGUCGAG